UUCCGAUCCUCUUCAUAGAGAU
This 22-nucleotide non-coding RNA is filed under the name Rattus norvegicus (Norway rat). Lineage: Eukaryota; Metazoa; Chordata; Mammalia; Rodentia; Muridae. The record is from RNAcentral.